RNAcentral lists this non-coding RNA (533 nucleotides) under Clonorchis sinensis. Its description in RNAcentral is "Eukaryotic small subunit ribosomal RNA". It matches the Rfam family "Eukaryotic small subunit ribosomal RNA", at positions 1 to 769 of the family's 1831-position model. Lineage: Eukaryota; Metazoa; Platyhelminthes; Trematoda; Opisthorchiida; Opisthorchiidae. The record is from Rfam by way of RNAcentral.
AUGCACAUGAUUUCAACACUACAAUAGCGGUCAUAAAUGUCUAAGUACAAAUUUUCAAAUGGUGAAACCUCGAAUGGCUCCUUAAAUCAGCUAUGGUUCCUUGGAGCCUGAGAAACGGCUACCACUUCCAAGGAAGGCUUCAGGCACGCAAAUCACCCAAUCCCGGCACGGGGAGGUAGUGACGAAAAAUACGGAUACGGGACUAAUUAGAUGCUCUAUAAUUCGAAUGAGUACAAUUUAGAUCCUUUAACGAGGAUCAACUGGAGGGCAAGUCUGGUGCCAGCAGCCGCGGUAACUCCUGCUCCAGAAGCAUUUAUUAAAGUUGUUGCAGUUAAAAAGCUCGUAGUUGGACCUGGCUGCACGCGUUGCUCGUAUUCCCGGCCUGGUUUACACCGGGACGGGUUUGUGAGUCAAUGUCGUGGUUGUGCAGCCUUUCUACCGUGUCUGCUUCGACAGGUGUUGGCAUGAUUGGUGAGUUCGUCUGAUGAGCAUGCUCAGCUGUUGAGCUUCAAGUGUAACCAUGUUCAAUUCCG